UGGGCUUGACAUCCCACGAACCUGCCUGAAAGGGCGGGGUGCCCGCAAGGGAGCGUGGAGACAGGUGGUGCAUGGCUGUCGUCAGCUCGUGUCGUGAGAUGUUGGGUUAAGUCCCGCAACGAGCGCAACCCUCACCCCUAGUUGCCACCGGGUAAAGCCGAGCACUCGAGGGGAACUGCCAGCGUCAAGCUGGAGGAAGGCGGGGAUGACGUCAAGUCAUCAUGCCCCUUACGCCCUGGGCUACACACGUGCUACAAUGGCCAGUACAAAGGGACGCGAGACUGCAAGGUGGAGCUAAUCCCAAAAAACUGGUCUAAGUUCAGAUUGCAGUCUGCAACUCGACUGCAUGAAGGAGGAAUCGCUAGUAAUCGCGCAUCAGCACGGCGCGGUGAAUACGUUCCCGGGCCUUGUACACACCGCCCGUCACACCACGAAAGCUGUCUGUACUCGAAGUCGCUGAG
RNAcentral lists this ribosomal RNA (461 nucleotides) under uncultured Methylomirabilota bacterium. Its description in RNAcentral is "bacterial SSU rRNA". It matches the Rfam family "Bacterial small subunit ribosomal RNA", at positions 976 to 1434 of the family's 1533-position model. Lineage: Bacteria; Methylomirabilota (SeqCode). The record is from RNAcentral.